Molecule: long non-coding RNA, 241 nt
Filed under: Capsicum annuum
Lineage: Eukaryota; Viridiplantae; Streptophyta; Magnoliopsida; Solanales; Solanaceae
Description: long non-coding RNA (CANN_LNC017489)
Source: RNAcentral
CCGGGAGUACACUCUGGAUGCCACACGAUGUUUAUGGUCUCGAAAGACCACAAGCUAACCCAUGAACUAGUACCUGCCGUAAUCACUGAAUAAUAUGCUUAUAAUAAAAGACAUACGUGAAAAUAACUGAAGGUUCAUAAGGUUUUAAGAACUAAAAUUAAUACAACUGAAUACUCAAGUCUGAAGUAUAAAUGAAUAUACUAAAAAGGUCAGGUAUUUAUUGUUCAAUUAUGCUACCCCA